Molecule: ribosomal RNA, 494 nt
Filed under: uncultured bacterium
Lineage: Bacteria
Description: partial 16S ribosomal RNA
Rfam family: Bacterial small subunit ribosomal RNA
Source: RNAcentral
GACGAACGCUGGCGGCGUGCUUAACACAUGCAAGUCGAACGGAAAGGCCUGCUUUCCCUUGUGGAUUGCGGGUACUCGAGUGGCGAACGGGUGAGUAACACGUGAGUUAUCUGCCCCCAACUUGGGUAUAAGCCUGGGAAACUGGGUCUAAUUCCCGAUAGGACUGCAGGGUGGUGCCUGUGGUGGAAAACGAUUUUCUAGUGGUUGGGGAUGAGCUCGCGGCCUAUCAGCUUGUUGGUGGGGUAAUGGCCUACCAAGGCGGGGACGGGUAGCCGGCCUGAGAGGGUGGACGGCCAAAUUGGGACUGAGACAAGGCCCAGACUCCUACGGGAGGUAGCAGUGGGGAAUAUUGCACAAUGGGCGGAAGCCUGACGCAGCGACGCCGUGUGGGGGAUGACGGGCUUCGGGUUGUAAACUCCUGUCGAACGAGAGGAAGAGACCUGGUUGGAAGGGUGGUGACGGUAGUGGUAGAAGAAGCACCGGCUAACUACGUG